GCCUGGGUGGCUCAGUUGGUUAAGCAUCUGACUUCGGCUCAGGUCAUGAUCUCACAGCUUGUGAGUUCGAGCCCCGCGUCAGGCU
RNAcentral lists this transfer RNA (85 nucleotides) under Felis catus (domestic cat). It matches the Rfam family "tRNA". From Rfam's summary of the family: Transfer RNA (tRNA) molecules are approximately 80 nucleotides in length. Their secondary structure includes four short double-helical elements and three loops (D, anti-codon, and T loops). Lineage: Eukaryota; Metazoa; Chordata; Mammalia; Carnivora; Felidae. The record is from Rfam by way of RNAcentral. RNAcentral also lists the same sequence under 1 other name.